RNAcentral lists this ribosomal RNA (421 nucleotides) under uncultured bacterium. Its description in RNAcentral is "partial 16S ribosomal RNA". It matches the Rfam family "Bacterial small subunit ribosomal RNA", at positions 360 to 773 of the family's 1533-position model. The record is from RNAcentral.
AAUAUUGGACAUGGGGGGCGACCCUGAUCCAGCCAUGCCUCGUGUGGGAAGAAGGUCUUCGGAUUGAAAAGCACUUUAAGUUGGGAGGAAGGGCUAUAGGUGAAUACCCUGAAGAUUUGACGUUACCAACAGAAUAAGCACCGGCUAACUCUGUGACAGCAGCCGCGGUAACACAGAGGGUGCAAGCGUUAAUCGGAAUUACUGGGCGUAAAGCGCGCGUAGGUGGUUCAGUAAGAUGGGUGUGAAAUCCCCGGGCUUAACCUGGGAACUGCUUUCAUAACUGCUGAGCUAGAGUACGGUAGAGGGUAGUGGAAUUUCCUGUGUAGCGGUGAAAUGCGUAGAUAUAGGAAGGAACACCAGUGGCGAAGGCGACUACCUGGACUGAUACUGACACUGAGGUGCGAAAGCGUGGGGAGCAAAC